This 72-nucleotide transfer RNA is filed under the name Candidatus Omnitrophota bacterium. Its description in RNAcentral is "tRNA-Cys". It matches the Rfam family "tRNA". From Rfam's summary of the family: Transfer RNA (tRNA) molecules are approximately 80 nucleotides in length. Their secondary structure includes four short double-helical elements and three loops (D, anti-codon, and T loops). The record is from RNAcentral. Lineage: Bacteria; Pseudomonadati; Candidatus Omnitrophota.
GGUGCGGUAGCCAAGUGGCAAGGCAACGGUCUGCAAAACCGUUAUUCGUCGGUUCGAUUCCGACCCGCACCU